This is a non-coding RNA of Acanthosepion pharaonis, 113 nucleotides long. The record is from the annotation of a GenBank genome assembly. NCBI's taxonomy places the organism in Eukaryota, Metazoa, Mollusca, Cephalopoda, Sepiida, Sepiidae.
UAUGACCACAUCAUGUUGAAACAUUGGUUCCCAUAUGAUCACCAAAGUUAAGCAAUGACAAACCUGGUCAGUACCUGGGUGGGUGGCUGAUUGGGAGUACCAGGUGCUGUAAG